GGGACCUUGGCGCAGUUGGUUACCGCGCAGGUCUCAUAACUUCUUAUCUAUCUAUUGACAUAAGAUAAUCUAUGAUCUGGUAGGUCGUGAGUUCGAUCCUCACAGGUCCCA
Rhypophila decipiens is the source of this 111-nucleotide non-coding RNA. The record is from the annotation of a GenBank genome assembly. NCBI's taxonomy places the organism in Eukaryota, Fungi, Ascomycota, Sordariomycetes, Sordariales, Naviculisporaceae.